Molecule: long non-coding RNA, 1503 nt
Filed under: Astyanax mexicanus (Mexican tetra)
Lineage: Eukaryota; Metazoa; Chordata; Actinopteri; Characiformes; Acestrorhamphidae
Description: lncRNA (ENSAMXG00005017510.1)
Source: RNAcentral
ACAAACCAAAAGCACCGGCCAAAAGCAAGUAUUAUUAAUAUACUUCAUGAAUAUUAAACAGUCUGUUCAUAUUUAUUAUUAAAUAUUUCAUAUUUGAGGAAAUAUUAAUUUUAAGUUUUAUUUACAGUCAGUGUUUAUUAAAUAGGACAGUUUGGGGGUUUAUUUAUUAAUAAGAGCUGAUUAAUGAGGGGAUUUUAAUGAAAUUAAUUAGGGUAAAGCUCUGUAAAGUGUGCCGCUGGUUAGGAGGGGUGAGAGGUGAAAGGGCGUCAGAGGUAAGAUGGUGAAUCCAGACCCAUGCUCAGGAAGUGGAUAAGACAGAUUGAAGGUGUGUCAACGUCAAGCAUGUACAUAUUGUUUUAAAAGCUGCAAAAUUCAGUGGUUCUGGUCUAAACAAGGUCAUUCAGAGUUGUAGAGAGAGCUCUAACUAGUUGACAGUGGUGGUAAAUAUACAAUAUUCUAUCUUAGUCAGGCACAGAUGCUUAACCCUGCUUGCACUGGGUAGCAUACUGGUUAAUAUGUCCAGGGGCUCAAAACAAAUUUAACAAAGUUGAUACUGAUGUACUGGUUCAUACUUCAUUUGUUUUAAUAUUGUUGUUGUUCUUAUGCGCACAUUAGCCAAAAUGAUCAACUUGUGGUACCUACUGUAGUAGGAUGAAAAAUAAACGACUUAAGUACAUCAACCAAUUUCAUUUUCAUUUGCUUUGUUACCAACAACCACUGAAAAUUGCAACAGAUAACUCUUCAGUGUUUCAUUUUAAGAAGGCUUUUUGUAAUUAACAUUUUUGAAGGCUGUUUAAAGUAAAAGCAUACACAAUUUUUCUCCAAUAUGUGCUUUUAUUUUUGUAUAUUGUUGUUUCUCACAUUAAGCUGUUCAGUUUCAGUUCUGCAGUCAUUAUAGGCCUGUUGCAGUUUCAAAUUGUCCAUUGUUUAUAAAUCUGCUUUGUAUAUUUUCAUCUGAGAUUUGUAAUGUCAGCAAGCUCAUCUUUAUUAUCUGUUUUCUUUCUUUGUACAGACAAAAUCAAAGCACCAGCCAAAAAUACAGCAAAGCGUAAAGCAGGCGCCAAGCCUAGUAAAAAGUGUGUAAAAGGCUACAUCCACAAUGUAUCUAAAAUAAUGCUUUCGGUCAAAAAAAACAAAUACUUCACUGCUCUGUUCCAAGAGGCAAAAACCUGUUCCAAACUUUUGGUUUUCAAAGAGGAGCAUCAUCAGGAGUAUGUUUCAGCUGAGGAAAAUCGAAUUCCAGUAAAACUGGAAAACAUCACGCGCCAGCGUACAGGUGAAAAGGACAUUAUAGCUGGGUGGGAUUCCAAGCUUUCCUCCUUGAAAAAAUUACCUUUUUCAUUUGAUGCCACCAAGAAACAAGAAACCAACGCUGAACACAAGAAAAUUCGAGACAUUCUUAAAAACCCCAUCAUCAGUCAACAAGUUCAUGUGACUGUAAAAAUAAAGAAACAACUAGAGAACGAAAUAAAAAUGACAAAGGCAAAAAAAAAUGUGAAAUGA